RNAcentral lists this ribosomal RNA (314 nucleotides) under uncultured bacterium. Its description in RNAcentral is "bacterial SSU rRNA". It matches the Rfam family "Bacterial small subunit ribosomal RNA", at positions 490 to 793 of the family's 1533-position model. The record is from RNAcentral.
GCACCGGCUAACUACCGUGCCAGCAGCCGCGGUAAUACGGAGGGUGCGAGCGUUAAUCGGAAUUACUGGGCGUAAAGACGCAUGCAGGCGGCCUGUUAAGUCAGAUGUGAAAGACCCGGGGCGUUAACCUCGGAAUUGCAUUUGAAACUAGGCAGGCUAGAGUCUUGUAGAGGGGGGUAGGGAAGUUUCAGGUGUAGCGGUGAAAUAGCGUAGAGAUCUGAAGGAAUACCAGUGGCGAAGGCGGCCCCCUCGGACAAAGACUGACGCUCAGAUGCGAAAGCGUGGGGAGCAAACAGGAUUAGAUACCCUGGUAG